AUCGAACGUUGCAGACCCGUGCCGUUCAACAACAACAACAUAGCGCCGUCUAUCGAAUGAAAUACCACGAAGCAAACUUUGACCAUGAGCUGUAUAAAGACGGAUUUACCAGAGUCUUUGUCGAACAGGGUGAAGCCAGCACAGACCCUCGGUCUUGAGAACCUCAAGUGAAGCCAGUACAGAUUCCCAUCCUCACUGUGGACUCCAGUCUCUGGUGAAUUCAAAGCAGACUCCCAUCCUUGAAGUGAAGCCAGCACAGACCCCUGUCCUUGAUGUGAAUCCAGAGCGGAAUCCAGACUGGACUGCCAUCCCCAAGGUGAAGCCUCAAAGCUGUCUGGAGGCAAGGUCCCACUGUCGUCUGGAGUGCUGACUCCUCUGCUCCGUCUUCUUGGAAGGACUGUAAUCUGAACUUUUUAAUUUUUUUAUUCUUCUAAUUAAUUUCUAAAGUUUUGUACCUAGAUACCUAAGAUGGUGUGAAAGUCUAUAAUGCUGGGCUUUUAUGUUUUUAUUUUUUAAAUUAUUCCUAAGAAUCUGUACCUAGAUGCCUUUGUACCUAAGAUGGUGCCAUAAAAGGCAAAUUUGUAAUUUUUCACAGUAUCCUUUGAGUACAUGUGACAAUAAAUCUAAUUCUAAUUUUUUUUAAAUUCCAAA
This is a long non-coding RNA of Chiloscyllium plagiosum (whitespotted bambooshark), 651 nucleotides long. RefSeq lists it as uncharacterized. The record is from RefSeq and is a predicted model, not a curated record. NCBI's taxonomy places the organism in Eukaryota, Metazoa, Chordata, Chondrichthyes, Orectolobiformes, Hemiscylliidae.